RNAcentral lists this transfer RNA (63 nucleotides) under Callinectes sapidus (blue crab). Its description in RNAcentral is "tRNA-Gly". Lineage: Eukaryota; Metazoa; Arthropoda; Malacostraca; Decapoda; Portunidae. The record is from RNAcentral.
AUUUUUUUAAUAUAAUCAGUAUAUCUGACUUCCAAUCAGAAUGUCUAGCUUCUAGAAAAAAUA